RNAcentral lists this ribosomal RNA (254 nucleotides) under uncultured bacterium. RNAcentral describes it as "partial 16S ribosomal RNA". It matches the Rfam family "Bacterial small subunit ribosomal RNA", at positions 524 to 777 of the family's 1533-position model. The record is from RNAcentral.
UACAGAGGGUGCUAGCGUUGUUCGGAAUCAUUGGGCGUAAAGAGCGCGCAGGCGGUCGUGCAAGUCGCGUGUGAAAGCCCCCGGCUCAACUGGGGAGGGUCACGCGAUACUGAUCGACUCGAAGGCAGGAGAGGGAAGUGGAAUUCCCGGUGUAGUGGUGAAAUGCGUAGAUAUCGGGAGGAACACCAGUGGCGAAGGCGACUUCCUGGCCUGUUCUUGACGCUGAGGCGCGAAAGCUAGGGGAGCAAACGGGG